Molecule: long non-coding RNA, 398 nt
Filed under: Gallus gallus (chicken)
Lineage: Eukaryota; Metazoa; Chordata; Aves; Galliformes; Phasianidae
Source: RNAcentral
GGCAAGGGGAAUCCUGCUGAAGAUCCUUGCAUACCUGUGGCCUUGUAAAGUGUUGCUGAACAUUCCCGCUAAUGGCCAGAUCCUCUCCGACCUAAACCUGCUGACUCUUCCAGAUGUUCAGUAAGCAUCCAUGAAUGUCAGUGGGUACAUUUUUUUUCUGCAUGGAGGAAUCCAAUUCAACACCUUUGCUUCAUACAUAUUCUAUGUCAGAUGCCAAUAUGUCACACAGCCCCUCUGCUGCCAUCUGUCAUACAGCAACAAAAUGUAAUGGGAUACUGGGAGGAAGGUUCAAACUCUACUACCAUCCCAAGAACAUCUGCCUCUCAGGUUGUGGGCCAACAGAAAAAAAAAAGAAAAAGAAAAAGAAAAAAAAAGAGAGACAUUACUUUCGGAGCAGC